AUUGAACGCUGGCGGCAUGCCUUACACAUGCAAGUCGAACGGUAACAGGUCUUCGGAUGCUGACGAGUGGCGAACGGGUGAGUAAUACAUCGGAACGUGCCUAGUAGUGGGGGAUAACUACUCGAAAGAGUGGCUAAUACCGCAUGAGAUCUACGGAUGAAAGCAGGGGAUCGCAAGACCUUGUGCUACUAGAGCGGCCGAUGGCAGAUUAGGUAGUUGGUGGGAUAAAAGCUUAACAAGCCGACGAUCUGUAGCUGGUCUGAGAGGACGAUCAGCCACACUGGGACUGAGACACGGCCCAGACUCCUACGGGAGGCAGCAGUGGGGAAUUUUGGACAAUGGGCGAAAGCCUGAUCCAGCAAUGCCGCGUGCAGGAUGAAGGCCUUCGGGUUGUAAACUGCUUUUGUGCGGAACGAAAAGCCCCGGGUUAAUACCCUGGGGUCAUGACGGUACCGUAAGAAUAAGCACCGGCUAACUACGUGCCAGCAGCCGCCGCCG
This 498-nucleotide ribosomal RNA is filed under the name uncultured bacterium. RNAcentral describes it as "partial 16S ribosomal RNA". It matches the Rfam family "Bacterial small subunit ribosomal RNA", at positions 30 to 523 of the family's 1533-position model. The record is from RNAcentral.